This 885-nucleotide ribosomal RNA is filed under the name Triticum aestivum (bread wheat). Its description in RNAcentral is "partial small subunit ribosomal RNA". Lineage: Eukaryota; Viridiplantae; Streptophyta; Magnoliopsida; Poales; Poaceae. The record is from RNAcentral.
AUGGGGGACCAUGUGGUGGUGAAUGUGGACGGUUUUGCGAACACCAAGGAUGAUGGCGUUGCUGAGAAGCCAUCUGAGGCUGUGUCGGUGGCUGUUGUUGAUAUGGCGGAGGAUGGUGGCGAGGAUGAGCCACUCAUCCAGGCUGCAGAGUGCCGCAUAUGCCAGGAAGAGGACAGUAUCAAGAAUCUCGAGAAGCCGUGUACGUGCAACGGCAGUCUGAAGUAUGCUCAUAGAGCGUGUGUGCAACGCUGGUGCAAUGAGAAAGGAGACAUUACAUGUGAAAUUUGCCAUGAGCAAUAUAAGCCUGGGUACACAGCACCACCACGUGUUCAACCAGAUGAGACCAGCAUAGAUAUAAGGUCUUCGUGCCCGCUACACACGCUGAUCGACCAUCUCGAUCACAUGCAGAGCAACAACCUCGCCAUUGGGGAUUGGACCAUUACAGGAGCUCCUCUGGAUAUGCGCGACCCAAGAAUUCUUGCUGUAGCAGCUGCACAGCGUCGUCUUCUUGAAGCAGAGUACGACGAAUAUGGUGGUACUGAUGCUAAUGGUGCUGCAUUCUGUCGUUCUGCUGCACUCAUUCUAAUGGCCCUGUUGCUUCUAAGGCAUGCAUUGUCGAUCUCGGACAAUGAAGGAGAUGAUGACUCUUCUACCAUGUUCUCUCUUUUUCUUCUCCGAGCUGCUGGAUUUCUGCUGCCAUGCUAUAUAAUGGCAUGGAUCUUCAGCAUUUUGCAUCGCCGGCGACAAAGGGAGGAAGCGGCCUCAAUUGCCACGGCAGAGGUAGCAUUCAUCCUGCAAUCAGCCCAGGGCCGUGCCCUUCAGUUUACCAUCGCUCCAGACUCCCCAACCACCCCACAGCAUGAGCCACAGCAGCAGCAGCAAUAG